Salvia miltiorrhiza (redroot sage) is the source of this 3214-nucleotide RNA transcript. It is a transcript of the gene named protein RER1A-like, with no coding region annotated. The record is from RefSeq and is a predicted model, not a curated record. The transcript is spliced from 5 exons. NCBI's taxonomy places the organism in Eukaryota, Viridiplantae, Streptophyta, Magnoliopsida, Lamiales, Lamiaceae.
UACUACCCGGUGAAAUUAAUUUACUCGUUACAGACCAAAAAUGAAGUAGUGAAAAUUUUGCCGUAAAAACAAGUUCGCAAGCCAUUUGUUUACUUCGUUGUUACACCAUUUCUCCCAUAAAGUUGAGUGUGAAGAUAAUGGAAGAUGUUGGGACUGAUACUGCUGCUCCAGAGUCACCAUUAGCAAAGUGGAGAAAUGAAUUUUCGAGGAAGUUUCAGUUUUAUUUGGAUAGGUCCGGUCCCCAUAUGGCUCGUAGGUGGCUUGUUACACUUGCUGCAGCAGCAAUAUACAUCUUGCGUGUUUAUUAUGCUCAGGGGUUUUAUGUCAUCUCAUAUGGCCUGUCAAUCUACAUCUUGAAUUUGUUGAUCGGGUUUAUGUCACCCAAGGUUGAUCCUGAGCUAGAAAUGCUGGAUGGGCCUUCUUCGCCUACUAGAGACUCUGAGGAGUUCAGGCCCUUUGUCCGUCGCCUUCCUGAAUUUUUGUUCUGGUAUGCAAUCACAAAAGCUUGUUGUGUUGCCUUCCUCUUAACCUUCUUCUCCAUGUUCGACGUCCCAGUGUUCUGGCCCAUUUUGUUCUUUUACUGGUUUUUCCUUUUCUUCCUCACAAUGAAGAGGCUAAUCACUCAUAUGAUCAAGUACAGAUAUCUCCCAUUCAGCUUGGGAAAGCAGAGGUACACUGGGAAAAGGCCUGCUCAAACUCAAAGCACCCGUGGUCUGUCAAAGGACUGAGUUCAUGUGCAGAAUCUGUACCAAUGGAAUUGUAGGUGAUAACAUUUUACUUGAAACAUGUACUUCUUAUAAAGUUAACUUGAUAGACAGUAACGAAUAAAUUAAGAUUGCUUGUAAUUAUCGUAAUUAAUCUUUUUUUUUUUCGUUGUAAGAUGUAAGAUGUAAGAUGAGUAUAUUGUUAAUGUCGAGAUAGUCAGUUUUACCAUAAGCAACACGAAAUUCCUGCUGAUAAGAUGGUUUGGCUGAGUAUGGAGUUUGUCUAAUUCAUUUUUGAUCGGUCGAUUCUUCUUUUCCACAUGUUUAACUUUGGUUGGUGCUAUUUGUGGAGGAAGAGCUCCAAAUUUUUUUUAGUAUUUGAAAAAUCCCUUUCACUCUAGAUUUCCAGAGAGACAAAUUGAUGCAUUAGAAGAUCUGAAGAUGAGUCGAGAGGCGGGGCUUGUCAUGGAAGUUUCUUAGUGAAUACCACUAGUUCAUUUUAUUUCAGCUUUUCGUUUUUAAUUUGGUUCCUUUUUUUAAUAGUGAAAAGCAUUUUCUGGUCUUAAACCCACCAUGCAAUUCUAGUCUUUGUUCUUCUGCAGCCGUCCCCAAACAUGUCUUAUUCUUCUUCUUAGGAUCGAAGAUCGAGCAUCUGUAACUCUUCCUUAUAAAGGUCAUGAAUACUAAGGUACAAAGCUUGUGGUAUUGAAGAUUUUACUUGAUGAACGAGAGAUUUUUUUUUUUCAAUAUACAUAUUCCAACUAAGCAUCAAAACUAUUUUAUUAUCGAAUUCUAUAAUGCGCGGUAUAAAUUGAAUUUAUUUUAAAAAAUAAAUUGGGGGUUUUUAAAAGUGAAAAAUGUGAGGUGAUCACAUUUUUUGGAAAAUGAUAAAAGUUGGGUGCAACAUCCACUAUUAACCUUACAGUAUACUCUCUCCGUCUCACUCCAAUAGGCUCACUUUUUUUGGGCACGGAGAUUAAGAAAAUUUAUUUUUUAGUAGGAAAGUGGUAGUAAAGUGGUGUGGUUCACACCGAUUAAGUACAAUUUUUUUAUACAAAAAAAAAAUGAGUUUAUUAGAGUGAGACGGGGGAGUACGUAUUAUAAACUAUUAAGCCUUGAGAGUGGUACCAGCCUUGAGAGUUGUACCACGGUAAUUCAGGUUGAACAGCAGCCAAAAUAGCAAUCUAUAAAUAUUGGUGUUGGCUUUUGUAACGAGAGAGAGAGAGAGAGUAAAAGUAUUGUGAUCUGAGUUCGUUGGAGUUUUGAAAGCAUAUUUGAGUUUUUAAUUGAAAAUUCUUUCAUUGUUUCCUAGCUCAACAAUAACAACAUAUUGACUUUGAGUCAAACAAUUGAAUUCGUAGUUUAUAAGUAAAAUCCACAAUAGAAGUUGCAGUAAGAAAUAAUAAUAGGAAGCAAUAAUCUUUGCUAUAAUUUUGGUAGAAGGUAUAGUUUUUUCAAUGUGAUCUCGAACCUCCAAUUUUUUCCCACUAGGAAUGUUUUCACAAAAUCGACAAGAUUACAUGUAGUUUUACAACAUCAAUAAUAAUACUCCCCCAGUUCAUGAAAAGUAUGAUACUUUUGUCAUUUUAGAUGUCCACCAAUUUUAUUAAAACUUGUGCUACAUAAAAGUGUUAUAUUUUUGGUGAACGUAAUAAUAAUAAUAACUUUAGAAGAGUAGAAAAAUAGACAGAUAGAUUCAUUAUUCAUUUCCCAAAUUAGGCAAACAAACAUUUUGAAGAAUCUCAACUAUACAAGUCUCACAGUAACCGGCCCCAAUAUACAAAUAUAUAUGCGGAAAAUAACAUAAUGCUUUAGACCUUGACUUAGCCAAUAAAACCCAUGACAGAAGGAUUCCAAAUCAUAUUACACAUACAUUUGGUGCAACAACUUCCAACAACCAAAUAAAAACUCCAAAGCAAAUAAAUAAAACUCGCAACCUAUAUAGUCCUUUAAAUUAUUUCCCAAAAUGAGCAGCUGAUAAUGUGAUUGGUUCUCAAACAUGGCCAGCUAAGACUAUGAUUUCCAUUGCAGUUAUAUAAAAACCCUUCCAUCCUCAGCUUUUUCAAUGGCUGCCAAAUUCUUUUGUCAGCAAUGAAUGUUAGAAUCUAUAUUGUCAUCUUGUUUUUCUGGGCUCUGCUUACCGCCGUCACUCCCACGCUUGUUCGCCUCGCUGCUUCUGCUAAUCUUCAAUCAAGAUUAGAUGAUGCAGGUGAAGGCAGGGAAGGGGUGAAGUUAUUGUUGCCGAGAAAGGCUCUUGCCGAAGCAAUAGUUUCAGUACCGGCAGUGGCACCGGCGACAGCACCUGCGGCGGCGAAGGUGUGGUUCUUGUUGAGUUGAGGGAUCAUUUUGGUCGGAAUAAAAUGAGUUUGCAUUGUGUGGAGCAGAUGCACCUACCUACCUGCCUUGAUUAAUUAAUUGUAAAUAAUACCCUUUCUUAGAAGGUAUGAUUAAUUUGUUGUUAUAGGAUCAUUAUUUAAUUUUUACAACAAUUCAUUUAUAGAAAUAUUUAU